CUUGCAGUCAACGAUGCCAACAGUGUGGUGGAAUUUCCAUUGCGCAAGCGAAAGCUAGUUUGUAGGCUCCGGGGAUAGUACGGACGCAAGUUUGAAACUUGAAGAAAUUGACGGAAGGACACCACAAG
This 128-nucleotide ribosomal RNA is filed under the name Amblyospora sp. RNAcentral describes it as "partial small subunit ribosomal RNA". It matches the Rfam family "Microsporidia small subunit ribosomal RNA", at positions 679 to 807 of the family's 1311-position model. The record is from RNAcentral. Lineage: Eukaryota; Fungi; Microsporidia; Amblyosporidae.